UGUAAGACUUCUAACAGGAGGAACAGGUGCUGUCUGCGAUUCUGCUGCCUGCCUUUGGGAGCUUUUCCC
This 69-nucleotide microRNA precursor is filed under the name Mus caroli (Ryukyu mouse). RNAcentral's name for it is "miRNA (MGP_CAROLIEiJ_G0007153.1)". The record is from RNAcentral. Lineage: Eukaryota; Metazoa; Chordata; Mammalia; Rodentia; Muridae.